GAUGAACGCUGGCGGCGUGCCUAAUACAUGCAAGUCGAGCGAACGGACGAGGAGCUUGCUCCUCUGAUGUUAGCGGCGGACGGGUGAGUAACACGUGGAUAACCUACCUAUAAGACUGGGAUAACUUCGGGAAACCGGAGCUAAUACCGGAUAACAUGUUGAACCGCAUGGUUCAACAGUGAAAGACGGUCUUGCUGUCACUUAUAGAUGGAUCCGCGCCGCAUUAGCUAGUUGGUAAGGUAACGGCUUACCAAGGCAACGAUGCGUAGCCGACCUGAGAGGGUGAUCGGCCACACUGGAACUGAGACACGGUCCAGACUCCUACGGGAGGCAGCAGUAGGGAAUCUUCCGCAAUGGGCGAAAGCCUGACGGAGCAACGCCGCGUGAGUGAAGAAGGUCUUCGGAUCGUAAAACUCUGUUAUUAGGGAAGAACAAAUGUGUAAGUAACUAUGCACGUCUUGACGGUACCUAAUCAGAAAGCCACGGCUAACUACGUG
RNAcentral lists this ribosomal RNA (497 nucleotides) under uncultured bacterium. Its description in RNAcentral is "partial 16S ribosomal RNA". It matches the Rfam family "Bacterial small subunit ribosomal RNA", at positions 28 to 507 of the family's 1533-position model. The record is from RNAcentral.